This 2927-nucleotide ribosomal RNA is filed under the name Enterobacter cloacae. RNAcentral's name for it is "bacterial LSU rRNA". It matches the Rfam family "Bacterial large subunit ribosomal RNA". RNAcentral also lists the same sequence under 1 other name. The record is from RNAcentral. Lineage: Bacteria; Pseudomonadati; Pseudomonadota; Gammaproteobacteria; Enterobacterales; Enterobacteriaceae.
GGGUUGUGAGGUUAAGCGACUAAGCGUACACGGUGGAUGCCCUGGCAGUCAGAGGCGAUGAAGGACGUGCUAAUCUGCGAAAAGCGCCGGCGAGGUGAUAUGAACCUUUGACCCGGCGAUGUCCGAAUGGGGAAACCCAGUGUGUUCCGACACACUAUCGUUAACUGAAUACAUAGGUUAACGAGGCGAACCGGGGGAACUGAAACAUCUAAGUACCCCGAGGAAAAGAAAUCAACCGAGAUUCCCCCAGUAGCGGCGAGCGAACGGGGAGCAGCCCAGAGUCUGAAUCAGCUUGUGUGUUAGUGGAAGCGUCUGGAAAGUCGCACGGUACAGGGUGACAGUCCCGUACACGAAAACGCACAGGUUGUAAACUCGAAGAGUAGGGCGGGACACGUGGUAUCCUGUCUGAAUAUGGGGGGACCAUCCUCCAAGGCUAAAUACUCCUGACUGACCGAUAGUGAACCAGUACCGUGAGGGAAAGGCGAAAAGAACCCCGGCGAGGGGAGUGAAAAAGAACCUGAAACCGUGUACGUACAAGCAGUGGGAGCACCUUCGUGGUGUGACUGCGUACCUUUUGUAUAAUGGGUCAGCGACUUAUAUUCUGUAGCAAGGUUAACCGUAUAGGGGAGCCGAAGGGAAACCGAGUCUUAACUGGGCGUUAAGUUGCAGGGUAUAGACCCGAAACCCGGUGAUCUAGCCAUGGGCAGGUUGAAGGUUGGGUAACACUAACUGGAGGACCGAACCGACUAAUGUUGAAAAAUUAGCGGAUGACUUGUGGCUGGGGGUGAAAGGCCAAUCAAACCGGGAGAUAGCUGGUUCUCCCCGAAAGCUAUUUAGGUAGCGCCUCGUGAACUCAUCUUCGGGGGUAGAGCACUGUUUCGGCUAGGGGGCCAUCCCGGCUUACCAACCCGAUGCAAACUACGAAUACCGAAGAAUGUUAUCACGGGAGACACACGGCGGGUGCUAACGUCCGUCGUGAAGAGGGAAACAACCCAGACCGCCAGCUAAGGUCCCAAAGUCAUGGUUAAGUGGGAAACGAUGUGGGAAGGCACAGACAGCCAGGAUGUUGGCUUAGAAGCAGCCAUCAUUUAAAGAAAGCGUAAUAGCUCACUGGUCGAGUCGGCCUGCGCGGAAGAUGUAACGGGGCUAAACCAUGCACCGAAGCUGCGGCAGCGACGCUUAUGCGUUGUUGGGUAGGGGAGCGUUCUGUAAGCCGUUGAAGGUGUGCUGUGAGGCAUGCUGGAGGUAUCAGAAGUGCGAAUGCUGACAUAAGUAACGAUAAAGCGGGUGAAAAGCCCGCUCGCCGGAAGACCAAGGGUUCCUGUCCAACGUUAAUCGGGGCAGGGUGAGUCGACCCCUAAGGCGAGGCCGAAAGGCGUAGUCGAUGGGAAACAGGUUAAUAUUCCUGUACUUGGUGUUACUGCGAAGGGGGGACGGAGAAGGCUAUGUUAGCCGGGCGACGGUUGUCCCGGUUUAAGCAUGUAGGCGGAACGAUUAGGUAAAUCCGGUCGUUUAUUAACGCUGAGGUGUGAUGACGAGGCACUACGGUGCUGAAGUAACAAAUGCCCUGCUUCCAGGAAAAGCCUCUAAGCAUCAGGUAACAUUAAAUCGUACCCCAAACCGACACAGGUGGUCAGGUAGAGAAUACCAAGGCGCUUGAGAGAACUCGGGUGAAGGAACUAGGCAAAAUGGUGCCGUAACUUCGGGAGAAGGCACGCUGAUAUGUAGGUGAAGCCCCUGCGGGUGGAGCUGAAAUCAGUCGAAGAUACCAGCUGGCUGCAACUGUUUAUUAAAAACACAGCACUGUGCAAACACGAAAGUGGACGUAUACGGUGUGACGCCUGCCCGGUGCCGGAAGGUUAAUUGAUGGGGUUAGCGGCAACGCGAAGCUCUUGAUCGAAGCCCCGGUAAACGGCGGCCGUAACUAUAACGGUCCUAAGGUAGCGAAAUUCCUUGUCGGGUAAGUUCCGACCUGCACGAAUGGCGUAAUGAUGGCCAGGCUGUCUCCACCCGAGACUCAGUGAAAUUGAACUCGCUGUGAAGAUGCAGUGUACCCGCGGCAAGACGGAAAGACCCCGUGAACCUUUACUAUAGCUUGACACUGAACACUGGUCCUUGAUGUGUAGGAUAGGUGGGAGGCUUUGAAGCGUGGACGCCAGUCUGCGUGGAGCCGUCCUUGAAAUACCACCCUUUAAUGGCUGGUGUUCUAACGUAGACCCGUAAUCCGGGUUGCGGACAGUGUCUGGUGGGUAGUUUGACUGGGGCGGUCUCCUCCCAAAGAGUAACGGAGGAGCACGAAGGUUAGCUAAUCCUGGUCGGACAUCAGGAGGUUAGUGCAAUGGCAUAAGCUAGCUUGACUGCGAGAGUGACGGCUCGAGCAGGUGCGAAAGCAGGUCAUAGUGAUCCGGUGGUUCUGAAUGGAAGGGCCAUCGCUCAACGGAUAAAAGGUACUCCGGGGAUAACAGGCUGAUACCGCCCAAGAGUUCAUAUCGACGGCGGUGUUUGGCACCUCGAUGUCGGCUCAUCACAUCCUGGGGCUGAAGUAGGUCCCAAGGGUAUGGCUGUUCGCCAUUUAAAGUGGUACGCGAGCUGGGUUUAGAACGUCGUGAGACAGUUCGGUCCCUAUCUGCCGUGGGCGCUGGAGAAUUGAGGGGGGCUGCUCCUAGUACGAGAGGACCGGAGUGGACGCAUCACUGGUGUUCGGGUUGUCAUGCCAAUGGCACUGCCCGGUAGCUAAAUGCGGAAAAGAUAAGUGCUGAAAGCAUCUAAGCACGAAACUUGCCCCGAGAUGAGUUCUCCCUGAGACUUUAAGUCUCCUGAAGGAACGUUGAAGACGACGACGUUGAUAGGUCGGGUGUGUAAGCGCAGCGAUGCGUUGAGCUAACCGAUACUAAUGAACCGUGAGGCUUAACCUUACAACGCCGAAG